UCUUCUCUCCCAAACCGUAGCUUUGGCCCUUGUGUGUGUGAAGCUAGACGGUCUAGGACUCUUCAUAGAUGCUCCUCAUGUAGCCUUGGACUAGACGCUCCUCAUCAUGGCUAGACGCUCCCUUUGUGAGGCUAGACGCUCCUUGUGAGGCUAGACGCUCCUUUUGGAAGGCUAGACGGUCUUGGUCUUGGAAGCUUGGCUUUCAUAGUGUGGUGAGCUUGGGCCUUCCUCCAU
This 234-nucleotide long non-coding RNA is filed under the name Phaseolus vulgaris (common bean). RNAcentral describes it as "long non-coding RNA (PVUL_LNC001620)". The record is from RNAcentral. Lineage: Eukaryota; Viridiplantae; Streptophyta; Magnoliopsida; Fabales; Fabaceae.